This 284-nucleotide small RNA is filed under the name Parendozoicomonas haliclonae. RNAcentral describes it as "5' ureB small RNA". It matches the Rfam family "5' ureB small RNA". Lineage: Bacteria; Pseudomonadati; Pseudomonadota; Gammaproteobacteria; Oceanospirillales; Endozoicomonadaceae. The record is from Rfam by way of RNAcentral.
CCUCUUCCACCUGCUGCGGGCAGAUAAAGUGGAUAUGAGCAUCCACUCCACCGGCGGUUACGAUUUGUCCUUCACCGGCAAUCACUUCGGUACCGGGACCAACAACGAUAGUGACGCCAGCUUGCAUAUCCGGGUUACCGGCCUUGCCAAUGGUUUGAAUCCUGCCGUGCUUAAUGGCGAUAUCCGCUUUCACCACACCCCAGUGAUCAAGAAUCAGCGCAUUGGUAAUCACCGUAUCCGGCACCUCGGCAUCAAGAGACUGGCUUUGCCCCAUGCCAUCACGG